CUGGCGGCGUGCCUAAUACAUGCAAGUCGAACGCACUCUCGUUUAGAUUGAAGGAGCUUGCUCCUGAUUGAUAACAUUUGAGUGAGUGGCGGACGGGUGAGUAACACGUGGGUAACCUGCCCUAAAGUGGGGGAUAACAUUUGGAAACAGAUGCUAAUACCGCAUAAAACCUAACACCGCAUGGUGUAGGGUUGAAAGAUGGUUUCGGCUAUCACUUUAGGAUGGACCCGCGGUGCAUUAGUUAGUUGGUGAGGUAAAGGCUCACCAAGACCGUGAUGCAUAGCCGACCUGAGAGGGUAAUCGGCCACACUGGGACUGAGACACGGCCCAGACUCCUACGGGAGGCAGCAGUAGGGAAUCUUCCACAAUGGACGAAAGUCUGAUGGAGCAACGCCGCGUGAGUGAAGAAGGUUUUCGGAUCGUAAAACUCUGUUGUUGGAGAAGAAUGUAUCUGAUAGUAACUGAUCAGGUAGUGACGGUAUCCAACCAGAAAGCCACGGCUAACUACGUG
RNAcentral lists this ribosomal RNA (511 nucleotides) under uncultured bacterium. RNAcentral's name for it is "bacterial SSU rRNA". It matches the Rfam family "Bacterial small subunit ribosomal RNA", at positions 36 to 507 of the family's 1533-position model. The record is from RNAcentral.